This is an RNA transcript of Molossus molossus (Pallas's mastiff bat), 935 nucleotides long. It is a transcript of the gene named RAB23, member RAS oncogene family, with no coding region annotated. The record is from RefSeq and is a predicted model, not a curated record. The transcript has 7 exons. NCBI's taxonomy places the organism in Eukaryota, Metazoa, Chordata, Mammalia, Chiroptera, Molossidae.
ACAGAUUUGAGAAAAAAGAUCUGAUCACCUGGAGUUAAAGUUGGUACAGAAACCUUUUCAAGUCCAAAAAUGUUGGAGGAAGAUAUGGAAGUGGCCAUCAAGAUGGUGGUUGUCGGGAAUGGUGCAGUUGGAAAAUCAAGUAUGAUUCAGCGAUACUGCAAAGGCAUUUUUACAAAAGAUUACAAGAAAACCAUUGGAGUUGAUUUUUUGGAGCGACAAAUCCAAGUUAAUGACGAAGAUGUCAGAUUAAUGUUAUGGGAUACAGCAGGUCAAGAGGAAUUUGAUGCAAUAACAAAGGCUUACUAUCGAGGAGCCCAGGCUUGUGUGCUUGUAUUUUCUACCACAGACAGGGAAUCUUUUGAAGCAAUUUCCAGUUGGAGAGAGAAAGUAGUAGCUGAAGUUGGAGAUAUACCAACUGUACUUGUCCAGAACAAGAUUGAUCUCUUGGAUGAUUCUUGUAUAAAGAACGAGGAAGCUGAAGCACUGGCGAAAAAGCUGAAGCUGAGAUUCUAUAGGACAUCAGUGAAGGAAGAUCUAAAUGUGAAUGAAGUUUUUAAAUAUUUGGCUGAGAAGUAUCUUCAAAAACUCAAACAAGUAGCUGAGCAUCCAGAAGUAAGGCAUUCCAGUAGUAACAAAAUUGGUGUCUUUAACACAUCUGGUGGAAGUCAGUCGGGUCAGAAUUCAAGUACCCUUAAUGGUGGAGAUGUCAUCAAUCUUAGGCCCAACAAACAGAGGACCAAGAAAAACAGAAAUCCUUUUAGCAGCUGUAGCAUACCCUAAAACAUUUUAGGCAGGAAAGAAAUUGUGCAAUUCAGUGAGAACUGUAUCCAGCGGUCAUGGUAAACCCCAAGUCUCUUCAGACUGCUGUGUGUGUACUUCGGCAGUGUUCCUUGUGCAAUACCUGUGUCAUGUGGGAUGUGGAGGUGUGUGCAGAU